GGUAGUUCAAUUGGUAGAGCAGCGGUCUCCAAAACCGCCUGUUGAGGGUUCGAGUCCUUCCC
RNAcentral lists this transfer RNA (62 nucleotides) under bovine gut metagenome. It matches the Rfam family "tRNA", at positions 6 to 65 of the family's 71-position model. From Rfam's summary of the family: Transfer RNA (tRNA) molecules are approximately 80 nucleotides in length. Their secondary structure includes four short double-helical elements and three loops (D, anti-codon, and T loops). Further hydrogen bonds mediate the characteristic L-shaped molecular structure. tRNAs have two regions of fundamental functional importance: the anti-codon, which is responsible for specific mRNA codon recognition, and the 3' end, to which the tRNAs corresponding amino acid is attached (by aminoacyl-tRNA synthetases). tRNAs cope with the degeneracy of the genetic code in two manners: having more than one tRNA (with a specific anti-codon) for a particular amino acid; and 'wobble' base-pairing, i.e. permitting non-standard base-pairing at the 3rd anti-codon position. The record is from RNAcentral.